Ruminococcus sp. is the source of this 129-nucleotide non-coding RNA. The record is from Rfam. NCBI's taxonomy places the organism in Bacteria, Bacillati, Bacillota, Clostridia, Eubacteriales, Oscillospiraceae.
CGGUGGGUGGAAGCCCCAUCAAAUAAGCUGCUAACCACAGCAUUUGAAGCGAGUCUUGAGUCUGUCGCGGAAACGUUGCAGGCUAAGCGUAGACAGCAAGAUAACAGGGAUAGCUAUUGAGCACCGAAA